CAAAAAAUUAUGUCCCCUGAAAUUUACAUAUUUCUAAAGAGGAGACAAACUUGAGUCUAUCAUUUCCUUUGGUCUCUUGACUUCUCUUGCUGAUUCUUUGCAGUUAAGAAAUUUGAAGGAAUUCAUAGUAAUACCAGAGAAUUCGUUUUUGAGCAGUACAAAUACUGAUGACCAGGUAUCUCCUCAGGUAACUCCUUUCAGCUGAGUGUUUAUCUCUGCUGUAGAUCCAUUUUGUGGAUCUUUAGAAGGCAAAUCCAUGCUUCUAAGAUUUUUUGCUUUUGUUUGUUUACUUAUUUUCUUUGAAGAAGUUUCCACAUAGGGUAAAAAGGAAAGGCUGGUAUCACUAAUUCACUGAGAAGACACCAUCCGUCAUUUAUCUAGGCAAUACGAAACUUCAUCUGGUCAUCAUGGGAAGAAGUCUUUCAGCUCUGCUGAUAAUGUUAGUUUUUAGUCAUAUAAUUAGUCUUUUUCAAAACUAAAAUUAAAGGAAAAAAAAAAAGAUAUACUAAGUGCUUCACAUUUUACUUUCAGAUAACCUGUAAUCAGAUUUCUGUUACCACUGGACAAUUUACUCUUUCUUUCUCUGGAUUUCCUCUUGCUGCUGAGGAGUUUUAAAAUGUUUUGUCACCCUAUGCAUCUUUCAAGGAACAUAAAAGGUUAAUAAUAAAACUUUAUCUCGUAGGGUUAUGUGAAAAUAUAUGUAUUUUAAAUAAAAAAUUCUCAAGGCGUAGUACUAAUAUUGUGCAAAUAUUUAGAAGUUAUUUUAUGCUUUUUGUGUUCUGUGUAACACUUCAAGUAAGACUUAAAGAUGGACAGUGAAUGUGGAAGAUAGAAAAAUCUGAACAAGAUGAAAGAAGACAGGAGCCUUGAAAAAAACCCAGUCUGUCACAUAUCAGAUGGCACGGAGGUUUCAGAUAUUCAACAGACCAGCUCCUGCACACUCUCUGUUUAAACCUUCCCAAGUUUAACAACAACUGAGGAUCCAUUUUGCUUGAUCAGGCUCUCAAGGUAAAUGGUAGGAUUUAUUUUCUACUAAUCUACAUUGUAUGCUUUUCUUAUCUCUAUUUGUCUGUGAUGAAUUUGGAAGUUAUUCUGAAGCUCAUUGUAAAAUUCACCUCAUUUUUAGGAGUAGGUUCAUAAUCAUAUAGUUUAGCUUACAUGAAAAUGACAAGUUCAAUGAAGUGCUUUGGCUAAUAUUUCCAGAUUUUUCUGCCUAAGUUAUUUCACCUGCAUUUAUGGACUCCACAUUUUUUCUAACACAGAAGGAAGGACCACCUGAUUUUCUGUUUAAGUUAAAACUUUUUUCUCUUGAAAUAAUAAACUGAGAAUAAUAUAAACA
This 1339-nucleotide long non-coding RNA is filed under the name Parus major (Great Tit). Its description in RNAcentral is "lncRNA (ENSPMJG00000002315.1)". Lineage: Eukaryota; Metazoa; Chordata; Aves; Passeriformes; Paridae. The record is from RNAcentral.